This 656-nucleotide long non-coding RNA is filed under the name Marmota monax (woodchuck). Lineage: Eukaryota; Metazoa; Chordata; Mammalia; Rodentia; Sciuridae. The record is from RNAcentral.
CUAUGGCGCUUUUUUUUUUUUUAGGUAGAUGUUCCAUUUGCACAAGAUAACCUUCUGAUCUUUUAUCCUGUGAUUUUCAUUCUUCUCUCAAGAUUCCCUUCACAUUUUAUGCCCCCUCCCACACACACACUAUCUAGAAGAUCUUAGUGAUCUGAUUCCUCUGCUCAUCUUUUGAUCAGCUUGGUCUCCCCACUUCUGCAUUUGUUCCUUAAAAUUUGUUCUUCAUAGAUUAGCCAAUAUGAUUAUUUUAAAAUAUGUCAGAUCAUGCUGUUCACCAGCUGCCUAACUGAAUCCAAAAUCAUGGCCUGUGAGGCCUGACCUGACAUGGUUCUUGGCUGCCUUUCCCACCUCAUUUUCACUUUCUCUCCCUUCGCUUACUCAGUUCUGUCUCUUUGCAAUACUCAAAAUUACCAAGGCAAUUCCUAUCCCAGAGCCUUUGCUAUUGCUGCCUCAUAUCAUUAUCAUUUAGGCCUCUGCUCAUCUCUAAUCUCAGAAAACCUUUCAUGGAUACCCUAGCUCACAGUUUUACUUGUCUUUGUAGCUAGAUAGCACUAUCCAUCAUUAGGCCCAAUUAUAUGUUCACCGUUUUUUUCUUUCCUACAAGUAUAUAAGUUCCAUGAGAACAAAAGACUUUGAAUAUAUAUAUUCAAAUCCAG